UUUUGUGUGUAAGUAUGUCUCAUGCCAUAUUUGGGACAUACUUAUACGAAAA
RNAcentral lists this microRNA precursor (52 nucleotides) under Callithrix jacchus (white-tufted-ear marmoset). RNAcentral's name for it is "mir-1302 microRNA precursor family". It matches the Rfam family "mir-1302 microRNA precursor family". Lineage: Eukaryota; Metazoa; Chordata; Mammalia; Primates; Cebidae. The record is from Rfam by way of RNAcentral.